CAAAGCGGAACCUAUGAAUGCAGGAGGAGAGAGAGAGCAAGGGAAUCGAAAAAGAGGGAAACACAGCCGCACAUCUCCAUCGCUCAGGAGGAAAACGGUCAGGGAUGAGAGAACCGGGAAGAGAGAGACAUGAACAAGAGAAAGAGUAAGCUAAAGGGGAGAGAAAGCAAAAACUCACAUCAUCUCUGUCAAAGCCUCUUUCGUUGGAUGUCGAUGUUGGUCCUCUUUGCCCUCCCCCUCCGUCUCCCUCUGCCUCCUUCGCUCUCUACGGCAUUGCUGGAUCCGCAAUCUACUGCCCUAUUCUUCCUCUUUCUACAACUCUCACACUCUUUCUAUCCUCCAGCAUGGUACAUGGUACUACACCACACCGCUGUUCAUUCAGAGCAUGUGUGUGAUGAAGAGAGUGAGAGAGAGAGAGUAGGAGAGAAAGAGCGAGAGUGAGCAAAAGAGAGGGAGAAGCAGCAGGAAUAGAGGGGAUCACUGUCCUAUAAAGAGAUCACGUGCGUUGGAAAGGGAAAAAGAGAGUACAGCAGGGCGCUCAGGGACAAGGGCGCUGGAAUUGUGACACAAAUGAGUGUGCACGGACCAAAGAAGACAAGGAGCACAGAAGGAUGAUGCAGAGCUUCACAGACCGCAAACAUUGUGAUGCAUGAAUCACAUGCUGGCAUCUCAAUGCCUGUCAGUCUAUCACUCACUCACACUCACAGCAGUGCGAGAAAAGGCGCCAAGGCCUCCUCAGGUGAGUUGAUGCCAACGCGAGCAGUUCAGAAGAACCGACAGAAAACUCUCCACGUGCACAACAGAAACUCAUUCAGUAAUAAAGUACGCACAUCUCUUUAGAUUGUUGACAGUUGAGAGAAAAGAAUCUCUAGAUUUGGACAUUUCUUAACUACAUUAAACGGCAAAAUUUCUUUUGACCACCAAUUUUUGUAUUUCAUUCUGUAUUUUAUGCCAGACCACUAGCUAAACUAGGAUAAACUACAUCUAAACUGGUCUUCUUACCAGUAAGUCCUUCAUUACAACAUAUCAGCAAAGCACCGACAUAAAAAUUGUAAAAUUGUUCUUACCUGGGCGCGUCAAAGCUGUCGUAAGAUCCAACGGUGUAAUGUCGGAAGAGUCGCUUGGCUCUCUCACUGCGGCUCUCUGAAAGACGCAAACACAACCGCAUCCACAUCAUCACGAGUUUGUGUGUAUGAGGGUCUAACUACAGCAUGACAAGAAAACAUAUGUCCGACUUGAAGUUUCCCACUCUGACAGAGCGUGGUGGCCCAAACCACGGCGAGUUUAGCCAGCGUGAAAUGGCACAAUCGGCCUCUCUCACACUCCAGUAGAGUGCUGUAAACUAUUAAUAGUCAUCAUAGCUGCUCUCCCUCACAAGUCUGACAUCACAGAGAAGCUGUGGCAGUCCGACUGUCCUUCAACUACAUCUGGGACAAUCAAAAUGACAGCUCCGAGUGUAGUUCUUUGAUACUUAUAACGUGCGUGUAAUGUGUGUGCGUGUGAGAGAGGA
Pimephales promelas (fathead minnow) is the source of this 1510-nucleotide non-coding RNA. Lineage: Eukaryota; Metazoa; Chordata; Actinopteri; Cypriniformes; Leuciscidae. The record is from RefSeq and is a predicted model, not a curated record.